CCUCCUUUCUAAGGAAAACUAAAAUUAUAUUUUCGAAUUCUAAAAAAUCGAUACUGUGACCGUCCACCGUCCUCUUCUCUCAAGGUGUACCUAAUAGUAACUCUGUGCAUGGGCCGCCGAGCUCAUCGUGGUGGUUAGCAGCCACCCUCUAUAAUGGUGAUGUCGUCAAAUACUAGUAUUCCUCCUCCCACCACCAUUACAGGAUAUUGGCGCAUCNGGUCGAGCGCCAGAUCGGCUUANAGGAGGUCAGGAGGUCAAUCCCGCUAUCCGCCAAUACUCCACGAGACAUCUAACUUAUAAAAUUGUGAAUAAUAUAAUAUCAAUAUCUAUAUCUAAAUGCGAACAUCUAUAAUGUUGAGAACUAACGUACCAAUAAUAAGAAUAUUCCACACAAAGUUUUUUUCUGUGCAUAAAUCAAGCGUUUAAGGGCGAGUGGCGGAUGCCUUGGCACUGUAAGACGAUGAAGGACGUGAUAUACUGCGAUAAGUUCGGGGAGCUGUAUGUAAGUUUGGAUCCGAAGAUUCCGAAUGGGGAACCCAAGGCGAAUCU
RNAcentral lists this unclassified non-coding RNA (549 nucleotides) under uncultured Pelagibacterales bacterium. Its description in RNAcentral is "partial 16S-23S ribosomal RNA intergenic spacer". The stretch from base 413 to 549 matches the Rfam family "Bacterial large subunit ribosomal RNA", at positions 1 to 140 of the family's 2925-position model. Lineage: Bacteria; Pseudomonadati; Pseudomonadota; Alphaproteobacteria; Candidatus Pelagibacterales. The record is from RNAcentral.